Long non-coding RNA from Malaclemys terrapin pileata, 714 nucleotides. RefSeq lists it as uncharacterized. The transcript has 2 exons. The record is from RefSeq and is a predicted model, not a curated record. Lineage: Eukaryota; Metazoa; Chordata; Testudines; Emydidae.
UCAUAUAAGGCUGCAGUCUGUCUGCUGGGAAGUGAGGGAGUGAAGAGAUGAGGCAAAACCAGAUACAAGGAAAUUCUUAAAGAGAAAGGAAAGACAAAAGGAUAAUCUUAGAAAAAUAAACAGGAGAAUUAUAAAUUAUUGCUAUUUUAGAAAACUCACUCAGGAAUCUACAGAGGAGGCAUUGUCAUAUAGAAAUAAAUAAAGGCCUAUAAACCCAGAGAGAAAUGUGAAAGACAGUGUAGUGGGUCUGAUUUUUUCUGAAGUCAAGGGUGAGACUUGGACCUGGAGAGAGAGAGAGAGAAAGAGAGAGAGAGACACACACACACACACACACGUUAAUUGUGCACACCAAUGGGCAAUUGCAAGAGCAAGAUGGAUCUGCACAUACAUGGAUUUGCUGGAUCUCAGCUUUCUGGGUUUUUAUGGACUGGGCCACUGGAAGGUACCCCACAUCACUUGACAGGAUGCCUCUCCAAAGGAGAAGGUGGAGGGAGAUUUAUAUGCAAACAGCAUGAAAGUGCUCAAGAGCUUUAAUUUGCUGAAGAAAUUGACUUUCUUUGAUAAUAAAUAAAAAUACCUUGUCUUUACAUAGCCCCAUCAUAGUCAUACUUCUCUAUAAAUACACGAUUUGACUGUCACAAUGCAUCUCUUUCAGCCAGAUUGAAUUUUGAUGCAUCCAUGUUGAUUUAUAAUAAAGAAUUAGUCACAUUGGUC